This 346-nucleotide long non-coding RNA is filed under the name Olea europaea subsp. europaea. The record is from RNAcentral. Lineage: Eukaryota; Viridiplantae; Streptophyta; Magnoliopsida; Lamiales; Oleaceae.
UAUCAUGUUCCAUCAGCACACUAUGGUUUAUAUGAUACACAUCUAGUAGUUGACCAACGUUUAUAUUGGCAAAUAGGGUGUUUCCAAGUCCAUGACCUAGUACUACUUAUUUUUUGAGUUUUAAUUGCUAUCUUAUUAGUUUUAACUACUAUAUUUGUUCGAAUCCCACAAAUUAUUCCAACUCAGGGUUAGAAUAUCUUCGAAUAUGUUCUUGAAUUCAUUUGAGACGUGAGUAAAACUCAAUUGGAGAAGAAUAUGGUCCUUGGGUUACUUUUAUUUGAACUAUGUUUCUAUUAUAUUUGUUUCUAAUUGGCCGGCCUCAUGGAGAGUUACCCACACCAACAAU